UGGGGAAUCUUGGACAAUGGGGGAAACCCUGAUCCAGCGAUGCCGCGUGGGUGAAGAAGGCCUUCGGGUUGUAAAGCCCUUUAAGUUGGGAAGAAGUAGCAUACGUGAAUAGCGUAUGUUGUUGACGGUACCGACAGAAUAAGCACCGGCAAACUCUGUGCCAGCAGCCGCGGUAAUACAGAGGGUGCGAGCGUUAAUCGGAUUAACUGGGCGUAAAGGGCGCGUAGGCGGUUUUAUGAGUGUGAUGUGAAAGCCCUGGGCUUAACCUAGGAAGAGCAUCGCAAACGAUAAGACUGGAGUAUUGGAGAGGGUAGCGGAAUUUCCGGUGUAGCGGUGAAAUGCGUAGAGAUCGGAAGGAACGUCAAUGGCGAAGGCAGCUACCUGGCCAGAUACUGACGCUGAGGCGCGAAAGCGUGGGGAGCAAACAG
RNAcentral lists this ribosomal RNA (428 nucleotides) under uncultured bacterium. RNAcentral describes it as "bacterial SSU rRNA". It matches the Rfam family "Bacterial small subunit ribosomal RNA", at positions 355 to 775 of the family's 1533-position model. The record is from RNAcentral.